UACAUAGUUGAAGAGGACUUAAAUGGAUUGAUUGGUACUACCUAUAUCAACAAAAUGCAUCUUAUUAUUUUUCGGUAGCCCAUCACGAAAGAACUCCACUGUUAAGCGUGCUUGACUUGGAGUAAUUUCAGGAUGGGUGACCUCCUAGGAAGUUUUCCCAAGAAGUGUGCGAGUGAGAACAAAGCACGCUGGAAAUACUCAUGUUGGUUUGUAGGGUUAGUUGUCAUUCCAUGAAGCAGCCAAAGUAGAGUACUCGUGUCUAAGAUUCAUCAUUCAGUGGGUGUAAGGGCCCAAUAGAAGCUUGAAGCGGGGACGUUACAAAAGUUGUAAUGAACGUAUGAUUUAGAUAUGGAUUAGUGGGGCCAUAGAUAUUAAUUGUUGUUAUUUAAUGAUUAUAUGUGAAUAUUAUACGUGAUGUGGGUCCCAUUUUUUAGAAUGGGCAUUAGAAUUAUAAUUUUUUAAUUUUGGAGAAAUUAUUUAACUCUACAAAUGUUAUUUAUAUCAAAUGCAAAAUAUGUAAUUUUUGUGAUUCUAGCCCGGUGGCGAUGGAAAAUGCAACGGAGGGUCGUCAAACAUAGAAUCUUUUUAUUCUUGAGAGUAAUAGCAGGUUGAGUUCAAGUUUCGGGUUUAGGCGGGGUAAUGGUAUCGGACCAUUUUACCCCUAAACCAUUCUUUGAGUUAGGUAUUAAGACAAUGGUAGAAUUGGAAUUUUACGCUUGAUGAUAGGUGGCUUUAGAGAGUAUGGACAGCGGGCAUUUAGAAAUUUAGAGAUAAACUAAGUUUAUCUAAAAAGAGAAUUAAAUUAAAGAAAAAAAAUAUUAGAAGAUAAGUGUAAAAUCCCAUUUCUUUAGCUUUCUCUCGUUUAUGUAGCAGCCCUAGAACGAAGGGAUUUCUUCAAUUUUCCUUUGUUGAUUCUAGAAGAAAUUCAAGGGUUAAGAAGAAGCUUUGGAAGAGAAAAACUAAGGGCCUCCGUUCAGGUUGAGAAUUUUCUAUUCAAGUCGACCCGGCACGCUUGAAUCUGGUAACGAGGUAAAGGAAGAGCUAAGGCAGAGGAGCAGUGAGUUUGGAGCUCGGUAGUGAUUGUACAUAUCGCGGCAAUACAGCCUGGAGGGUUCUGGUCUUAAAACAUUUUGGGUCAAAUUUUUGUAGUCACCAUAUGACAUAUAAUAGAAUACGUUAUGUUUGUGAAAAUCAUCUUUUGAAAUCGGGAUUCCGGCUUUGUAAAAUUAUAUAUAUGUUUAUAUUUAGUUUAUAUGAUUAAAGUUUAAAUCCAAGUGAUUUCUAAAUUGGGGGUUACAAUAAUGCAAUUACGUACCUUGCACAAUAGUUGAGUGCUAAAGUUAAGUGGUUGAAUGAACUUACUACAACAGUUUGUACUGAUGUAUAUUCUGAGCGCUGGAGAAAAAUGAAUAUAAGUAUUCUUAAGGUUAACUGUGUUGUUGCAAUCUCUUUCAUCUGAUUUUAUUUUAGUU
Cannabis sativa is the source of this 1472-nucleotide long non-coding RNA. RefSeq lists it as uncharacterized. The record is from RefSeq and is a predicted model, not a curated record. The transcript has 3 exons. Lineage: Eukaryota; Viridiplantae; Streptophyta; Magnoliopsida; Rosales; Cannabaceae.